This 207-nucleotide ribosomal RNA is filed under the name uncultured bacterium. Its description in RNAcentral is "partial 16S ribosomal RNA". It matches the Rfam family "Bacterial small subunit ribosomal RNA", at positions 568 to 774 of the family's 1533-position model. The record is from RNAcentral.
CGCGCAGGUGGGUGCGUAAGUCGGAGGUGAAAGCGCAGGGCUCAACCCUGCGACGCCCUUCGAGACUGCGUGUCUAGGGACCGGUAGAGGUGAGUGGAAUUCCCGGUGUAGCGGUGGAAUGCGUAGAUAUCGGGAAGAACACCGGAGGCGAAGGCGGCUCACUGGGCCGGAUCCGACACUGAGGCGCGAAAGCGUGGGGAGCAAACA